GAAACUCGAAAGUAAAAGCUAUGAAUAUGACUAUGGAGUCUUUAGGCGUCCCCUUCGUCGUCUUCCCGCGGAACGGGCUCGAGAACAAUAUCUUCCUGAUCUGAAAUGAUUAAAUAAGGAAUGAGCUACACUAGCCCAGUAAAGACAUCACGAUAUCUCACCGUCAUGGAGGUAAAGGUGGGUAGAAAACACAAAAAGACCAAUGGAGCAC
Molecule: long non-coding RNA, 211 nt
Filed under: Carica papaya (papaya)
Lineage: Eukaryota; Viridiplantae; Streptophyta; Magnoliopsida; Brassicales; Caricaceae
Description: long non-coding RNA (CPAP_LNC001822)
Source: RNAcentral